GAUGAACGCUGGCGGCGUGCCUAAUACAUGCAAGUCGAGCGGACGGACGCGAAGCUUGCUGCUCUGUUGUUAGCGGAGGACGGGUGAGUAACGCGUGUAUAACCUACCUAUCAGACGGGGAACACUUCGGGAAACCGGAGAUAAUACCGGAUAAUCUUUUGAACCGCAUGGUUCAAAAGUGAAAGUCGGCCUUGCUGUCACUUAUAGAUGCAUCCGCGCUGCAUUAGCUAGUUGGUAAGGUAACGGCUUACUACGGCUAGGAUGCAUAGCCGAGCUGUGAGGGUGGUCGGCCACACUGGAACUUAGACGCGGUCCUUACUCCUACGGGAGGCCGCAGUAUGCAAUGUUCCGCAAUGGGCGAAAGCCUUACGGAGCAGGGCCACGCGAGUUAUGGCGGCGUCCGGUGCGUAAUACUCUGUUAUUAGUGAUGAACAUCUGUGUAAGGAACUGAGCACUUCUUGACGGUACCUAAUCAGAAAGCCCCGGCUAACUACGUG
Molecule: ribosomal RNA, 497 nt
Filed under: uncultured bacterium
Lineage: Bacteria
Description: partial 16S ribosomal RNA
Rfam family: Bacterial small subunit ribosomal RNA
Source: RNAcentral